This 873-nucleotide ribosomal RNA is filed under the name Entoloma sericatum. Its description in RNAcentral is "eukaryotic LSU rRNA". It matches the Rfam family "Eukaryotic large subunit ribosomal RNA", at positions 55 to 914 of the family's 3401-position model. The record is from RNAcentral. Lineage: Eukaryota; Fungi; Basidiomycota; Agaricomycetes; Agaricales; Entolomataceae.
GGAAAAGAAACUAACAAGGAUUCCCCUAGUAACUGCGAGUGAAGCGGGAAAAGCUCAAAUUUAAAAUCUGGUAGUCUUUGGCUGCCCGAGUUGUAAUCUAGAGAAGUGUUAUCCGCGCUGGACCGUGUACAAGUCUCCUGGAAUGGAGCGUCAUAGAGGGUGAGAAUCCCGUCUUUGACACGGACUACCAGGGCUUUGUGAUGCGCUCUCAAAGAGUCGAGUUGUUUGGGAAUGCAGCUCUAAAUGGGUGGUAAAUUCCAUCUAAAGCUAAAUAUUGGCGAGAGACCGAUAGCGAACAAGUACCGUGAGGGAAAGAUGAAAAGAACUUUGGAAAGAGAGUUAAACAGUACGUGAAAUUGUUGAAAGGGAAACGCUUGAAGUCAGUCGCGUUGGCCAGGGAUCAACCUUGCUUUCUGCUUGGUGUACUUUCUGGUUGAUGGGUCAGCAUCAAUUUUGACCAGUGGAAAAAGAUCAGAGGAAUGUGGCAUCUUCGGAUGUGUUAUAGCCUUUGGUUGUAUACAUUGGUUGGGAUUGAGGAACUCAGCACGCCGCAAGGCCGGGUGUAAACCACGUUCGUGCUUAGGAUGCUGGCAUAAUGGCUUUAAUCGACCCGUCUUGAAACACGGACCAAGGAGUCUAACAUGCCUGCAAGUGUUUGGGUGGAAAACCCAAGCGCGUAAUGAAAGUGAAAGUUGGGAUCCCUGUCGUGGGGAGCACCGACGCCCGGACCAGACCUUCUGUGACGGUUCCGCGGUAGAGCAUGUAUGUUGGGACCCGAAAGAUGGUGAACUAUGCCUGAAUAGGGUGAAGCCAGAGGAAACUCUGGUGGAGGCUCGUAGCGAUUCUGACGUGCAAAUCGAUCGUCGAAUUUGG